Molecule: non-coding RNA, 1428 nt
Organism: Elaeis guineensis (African oil palm)
Lineage: Eukaryota; Viridiplantae; Streptophyta; Magnoliopsida; Arecales; Arecaceae
Source: RefSeq, a predicted model, not a curated record
AUAAAUCGAAGCCCUCGGUUGGGUUCGCGAACGGGAGAAAGAAAGAGAGAGUUCACUGCCACUACAUAUCACUCGCCGUCUAUCGUCGCCGGCGCCGUUUCGGUAGCAUCCAUGUACCGCAGCAGCGCCUCCGGUGAUGGCAAGUGCAGAUGACGGUUGUCGACAUGUACGCCCACGUCACCGGCGGGCGUGGCGAGCUCCGUCGCCCCUAAGAUCAAUCUCUUAGGUCUUUCUCCCAAGAAGGUCUGUGAAGACAUUGCCAAGGAUGGAAGGGCCUCUACAUCAUCGUCGAGGAGUUGCGAUGGCGGUGGAGGCAGGGGCAGGGUUGAUGGCGGUGAGGGAGGGAGGGAGGGGGGCCGCUAGGAAGGGGAGGAGGACCAGGAGCACGUGGGCAUUGAUGGCGCCACAGGCGAUCAGCACCUGUUCGAGAGAGCAUGAGAAGAUUUAGCAGGAGUGGUUCUUCUUGGUCGAUUCAGAUGGAGAUGGGCGCAUCACGGGAAACGAUGCCAUCAAGUUCUUCGCCAUGUCUAAGCCAUCUCGCCCCGAACUUAAACGGCUAACGAGAGUUUAUGGCACAUUAAUGUCGUCGCUUGGGAAAGUUUUGAACACUCCUAAAGUUAUGCAUAUGCAUGUUGGGUUGUUUUGCAGUAUCAGUGAAUUUCUAUAGUUCAUUGACUUAUAAAUUACCAUGCCAAAUGAUUUCUAAUGAGAAGUUACAGUUCAUUAAAUGACAAACCAAUAAAGGAGGCAGCUGUUGGUCCAAUUGGAAAGGAACUUUUUGAAAGGGAACAAGUUAACCUCCUUUCCAAUUUGAAAAAUUUCCCAAGAAGGCUUGUGAUCACUGUAUCAAUGAAUUUGUUAAGCAUGCAAGAGCAGCUAAGAUUCAUAGGAUGAGUUUGCAAAGAAAGUGGGACUCUGUAUUUCCUGAAAUCUGUUGAAACGGGUUCAAAGGGAAUUUUAUCUACCAGCUGGGGAUUUCUCUAAUUUCGAACCCUUCAAGGAGGUAUUGAGUGGUCAUGACGUCCACAAGUUUGAGAAGCUGAAGCCCAAACUGACACAGGUUGUGGAUGACAUGUUGGGAUAUGAUAUCCCGGAACUCUCGAGGAACUGCAGAAACCCCUAUGAAUGAUGGGAAGUGAUGAUCAUUCUGAUAGAUUGCUGUCAUCUUCAUUAGAAAAGUAGACAGUGAGUUACAAGAGACAUGUAUAGCUCAGUCUUCUCUUCAUGUUAUUGUCAAUUAUUGUAGUAAGGCUGUGCAAAUUCACAGAUUUUGACCUCUGAUGGGUGGGUAAGGAUGGUAUCAAAUGAUAAGGAUUAGUCAAAAUCAAUGGGGACAUGUGUUCACUUGAAAUAUCUUCCAGUGAUCUAUAUGAUAUUUUGGUAUUGUAACCUAUAUAUGCACUCUUCAUAUGCAUCGUAUUCAAUCAA